Non-coding RNA from Dermacentor andersoni, 458 nucleotides. NCBI's taxonomy places the organism in Eukaryota, Metazoa, Arthropoda, Arachnida, Ixodida, Ixodidae. The record is from RefSeq and is a predicted model, not a curated record.
GCGUGCAGCCGUGUGUUUGGGCUUUAUAAGUUGGUUCUUUAUUCUAUGUUGCGGGACGGUGUGGGUGUGGUCCAUGUUGGCCGUACAGGUGGCAGUUAUGCAACCGAGGGAUGAUCCUGUUGAAGCUUCCGGCAGUAUGCGGUUUUCAGCGGUCAUGCCUGUUGCAGGAGUGUCACGUACUCGACGAGGUUACGAGCUCGAAGCUGUGGUCAGAUUCUUCGUUGGCGUUCCGUAAUUCUCUUCGCACGGGCGCGGGAUCUGAUGUGCAUAUCUGCAGUUUAUGGAUACAUGUAAAAGACUCAGCAUCAAGUGCAAGUGAACGGACCUACAGGCCCGAAGUCGAUCAUGCAAAUAGAUUCGCUGCACAAAUUUGUGACCAAAAAAGAUAUUCCACAUGAAAUGGCAUGCAAGGAAGUGUUGAAAAUAUUGCACAGUUAAUAAAACGCCUACGCUAUUAA